Molecule: ribosomal RNA, 527 nt
Filed under: Vibrio sp. OT421
Lineage: Bacteria; Pseudomonadati; Pseudomonadota; Gammaproteobacteria; Vibrionales; Vibrionaceae
Description: bacterial SSU rRNA
Rfam family: Bacterial small subunit ribosomal RNA
Source: RNAcentral
CAGGCCUAACACAUGCAAGUCGAGCGGAAACGAGUUAACUGACCCUUCGGGUGACGUUAACGGCGUCGAGCGGCGGACGGGUGAGUAAUGCCUGGGAAAUUGCCCUGAUGUGGGGGAUAACCAUUGGAAACGAUGGCUAAUACCGCAUAAUGCCUUCGGGCCAAAGAGGGGGACCUUCGGGCCUCUCGCGUCAGGAUAUGCCCAGGUGGGAUUAGCUAGUUGGUGAGGUAAUGGCUCACCAAGGCGACGAUCCCUAGCUGGUCUGAGAGGAUGAUCAGCCACACUGGAACUGAGACACGGUCCAGACUCCUACGGGAGGCAGCAGUGGGGAAUAUUGCACAAUGGGCGCAAGCCUGAUGCAGCCAUGCCGCGUGUGUGAAGAAGGCCUUCGGGUUGUAAAGCACUUUCAGCAGUGAGGAAGGCGGGUACGUUAAUAGCGUGCUCGUUUGACGUUAGCUGCAGAAGAAGCACCGGCUAACUCCGUGCCAGCAGCCGCGGUAAUACGGAGGGUGCGAGCGUUAAUCGGA